This is a long non-coding RNA of Talpa occidentalis (Iberian mole), 891 nucleotides long. RefSeq lists it as uncharacterized. Lineage: Eukaryota; Metazoa; Chordata; Mammalia; Eulipotyphla; Talpidae. The transcript is spliced from 5 exons. The record is from RefSeq and is a predicted model, not a curated record.
GGCUACAUUCCCCACAUCAGCAUCGUUUUGAUACGGAAUUGUUGCAGUAUAGAGGAAACAGAUUUGACAGCAGGAGAGAAUAACCAAUCCAGGCUGAGUUUGUUUUUCUAAAAAAAACAAAUGUGGGAAUCUUCGCAGCUUCAGGACUCUGGCUUAAAGAGCAGGAGUCCCAGAAGGAGAAUACCACAUGGCAAAGAAUUGAAGGUAGCCUCUGGCAAAGAGCUGGCAAGGAACUGGGAUGUCAGUCAUGUCAUCAACCCAUGAAGAAUGGAGUCUCCUCAAGAGCCCUCAGUGUGAGUUGGAAGCACAUACUUCCUUAGUUUUUAUGGAUUUGACUGAAUGAGGACAUAUUUCUAGAGAGAGAAGAGCUGUACUUUGAAGAGUGAAACUGUAAGAGGAAGAGGAGCAAUUGCCUGCUUUUGCACCAUGUCCCUGCAGUCCCUGUAGUCUUAAGCACACAGCUCAUACUUCAACUCACCAAUUUCUUUCUUUGCUCUUGGAGCAGGCUUGAAAUAAAAAUAAAGAAUUACACUGAGUUAUUGGUCUAUUAAAAGGAGGAAUAUCUGGUGUUGGACAAGGACAGGACAAUCAAACUGAGAUGAAGAGGAUACUUUGCUACCUUAUAAAAGGUAACAAAAUAGACUGCACACAAGUCUAAAUACCCAUAAAGAAAGAUAUAGGACUCCAGAGAUAUGUGUGUAUUUGUGGACAGAAGACAGGGCAUUCAGGAAUGGAGGUCAACAAAGCCAAAUGAUAAUAGCUCAUUUACAAAAUGGUAUUGCAAAAUUCAGAAGGAACUUCUUCCAUUAGUACUUGGGACAAAAAUCUGAUUUGAAUUCUUUCAUCCUUAAGACUAAAUCUAACAAGAGAAUAAAAAUAAAAGAUGCAGUU